RNAcentral lists this transfer RNA (65 nucleotides) under Dipodomys ordii (Ord's kangaroo rat). It matches the Rfam family "tRNA". Rfam says of the family: Transfer RNA (tRNA) molecules are approximately 80 nucleotides in length. Their secondary structure includes four short double-helical elements and three loops (D, anti-codon, and T loops). The record is from Rfam by way of RNAcentral. Lineage: Eukaryota; Metazoa; Chordata; Mammalia; Rodentia; Heteromyidae.
GGUAGCUCAGUGGUAGAGCACUUGCCUUGCAUGCUCGAGGCCCUGGGUUCGAUUCCUCAGUACCA